RNAcentral lists this ribosomal RNA (253 nucleotides) under uncultured bacterium. Its description in RNAcentral is "partial 16S ribosomal RNA". It matches the Rfam family "Bacterial small subunit ribosomal RNA", at positions 524 to 776 of the family's 1533-position model. The record is from RNAcentral.
AACGUAGGAGACAAACGUUAUCCGGAGUUAUUGGGCGUAAAGAGCUCGUAGGCGGUCCGUCACGUCCGCUGUGAAAACCCAGGGCUCAACCCUGGGCUUGCAGUGGAUACGGGCAGACUAGAGGUAGGUAGGGGAGAAUGGAAUUCCCGGUGUAGCGGUGAAAUGCGCAGAUAUCGGGAGGAACACCGGUGGCGAAGGCGGUUCUCUGAGCCUUACCUGACGCUGAGGAGCGAAAGCGUGGGGAGCGAACAGG